GUCUAUGGCCAUGCCACCCUGAACAAGCCUGAUCCUGUCUGAUCUCGGAAGCUAAGCAGGGCCGGGCCUGGUUAGUACUUGAAUGGGAGACCACCUAGGAAGACCAGGUGCUGUAGGCA
This 119-nucleotide ribosomal RNA is filed under the name Pteropus alecto (black flying fox). The record is from RNAcentral. Lineage: Eukaryota; Metazoa; Chordata; Mammalia; Chiroptera; Pteropodidae.